CUCGGCGCUCGAGAGACGCUCGACUCUGGCGUCGCGACUCUGUUCGACUCAGUCGACGCCGAGCCGCUGCGCCAGUUGGCCGCGAGUUACUCCGGUAGUUCGGUCGGGCCGUUUCACGUUCUGGAAUUUCCUCUGGUUGUUCCGAGGAUCGGUUCUUAACCUUGUCUCUCUUUCUCACUUGCUGUACUUAAAGUUAUAUUUACGUGAUUGGUACACGCAGUACAGAUUGCGCGUUGAAAAAGACGCAGCACAGCGAGGAAAUAUGCUCGUGCGAAUAAUAGGUCGGGUCCUUAUCCUCGUCUUCGUGGUGCCGUAGAAAGCGGUUAGUACAAGUGAGUGCAAGUGCAACGCGAGUAACACAGUUGGUAAACUGUUUUCGUUUGUUCUCAUUGCCCGGGAGUUUCUUGUGUUUCUUUUCGGAUACUCCAAGCGUUGUGGCUCUCUUCUUCCCUUUAACGCAGAGACAGAUAUACGUACGAAUAUCUGACUACCACGCCACUCUGUUUCUUCUUCCUCUUCUUCAACGACCGUCCGCCUGCCUGACUGCCUGACUCUGCCUUCCCGGUCGGUCGCUUUGGAACGCCGACCUGCUGCGUGGCGCGACAUGGACUUCGUAAUAUUGAAGGUUAGGGUGCCUUCUACUGUUCGUGCUGGUGCUCUAUGAAGAAGAGCCCCCACCUCGUACUAGGGGUACAAAUUUCUUCAGCAGUGAAAGCAUCAGGACGCUGCUGAGUCACGCGAACGGUAUGCACACAAGUCUUAGCCCGGGAAUGGACCUCGUUAGGUGGCCAGAGAAAAAGUGUGAGGAAACUUCUGAAGGGAGACUGGUAAGGUUACGACACUCAAUUCCUCGAGAACGAUAUAAGCCAAAGCUUAAAAGAUCGAGGAAAAGCUCAGGGCGUGAAAUGUGAAGUAAAUAAAAGAUUUAAAAAAAGGAAGAGAAUUCUCUAUCGUAAUCAGUGCCAAUAGCAUCUUGCCGCGUCGAGUUAAGAUUGCGUCUCUUAUGGCAGGGAUAAAUCUAGAGUAGAGAGCAGAUAAAUGGAAGAAAAUGGAAAAUGGACGAAAGACGAUACGUAUUCCUGCAGGAUUCUCCACGUGCCCCAUUAGGAAUUCUUCCACCACGAAAUCCUUGAGUCAAUCAGAAGGGAUUACUGGAAAUCGCUGGCCCCGGGAUAGAACAAAAUAAUGAGAACAGAGAGAAAAGCGAAAAGAAGAAAAAA
Long non-coding RNA from Cephus cinctus (wheat stem sawfly), 1220 nucleotides. RefSeq lists it as uncharacterized. The record is from RefSeq and is a predicted model, not a curated record. NCBI's taxonomy places the organism in Eukaryota, Metazoa, Arthropoda, Insecta, Hymenoptera, Cephidae. The transcript is spliced from 3 exons.